This 509-nucleotide ribosomal RNA is filed under the name uncultured bacterium. RNAcentral describes it as "bacterial SSU rRNA". It matches the Rfam family "Bacterial small subunit ribosomal RNA", at positions 32 to 530 of the family's 1533-position model. The record is from RNAcentral.
AAUCAACGCUGGCGGCGUGCCUAACACAUGCAAGUCGAACGCGAAAGGGACUUCGGUCCUGAGUAGAGUGGCGAACGGGUGAGUAACGCGUGGGUGAUCUACCCUCGAGUGGGGGAUAACGUUCCGAAAGGGACGCUAAUACCGCAUACGCCCUGAGGGGGAAAGUGGGGGAUCGCAAGACCUCACGUUAUUCGAGCGGCCGACGUCUGAUUAGCUAGUUGGUGGGGUAAAGGCCUACCAAGGCGACGAUCAGUAGCGGGUCUGAGAGGAUGAUCCGCCACACUGGAACUGAGACACGGUCCAGACUCCUACGGGAGGCAGCAGGUGGGGUAAUUUUGGACAAUGGGGGCAACCCUGAUCCAGCCAUUCCGCGUGAGUGAAGAAGGCCUUCGGGUUGUAAAGCUCUUUCAGCUGGAACGAAACGGUACAUCCUAAUACGGUGUGCUAAUGACGGUACCAGCAGAAGAAGCACCGGCUAACUACGUGCCAGCAGCCGCGGUAAUGUCUAG